This is a non-coding RNA of Xiphophorus hellerii (green swordtail), 72 nucleotides long. The record is from the annotation of a RefSeq genome assembly. NCBI's taxonomy places the organism in Eukaryota, Metazoa, Chordata, Actinopteri, Cyprinodontiformes, Poeciliidae.
UCCCUGAUGGUCUAGUGGUCAGGAUUUGGCGCUCAAACCGCCCCGGCCAGGGUUCGAUUCCCGGUCAAGGAA